UGUCCAAGGAGCUAUAACGGUUGAUGA
This 27-nucleotide non-coding RNA is filed under the name Bombyx mori (domestic silkworm). Lineage: Eukaryota; Metazoa; Arthropoda; Insecta; Lepidoptera; Bombycidae. The record is from RNAcentral.